CUUUUGAAUUUGCUCGUAAUUAAAAUCAAGGUCAACUGUAAAAUAAACCACCAUGAGAACAGCUAUAGGGAUACUUAAUUUGAAGGAGGGCUUUAGCACUAUAAAAUCUUAUUUCUUUUCUAAAGAAAAAGAAAAAAGAACUGAAGUGAAGGAGUUCCCAUUGUGGCUCAGUGGUUAACAAACCCAACUGGCAUCCAAGAGGACGUGGGUUCAAGCCCUGGCCUAGCUCAGUGGGUUAAGGAUCUAGCACUGCUGUGAACAAUGGUGUAGGUUGCAGAUGCAGCUUGGAUCCAGCGUUGCUAUGGUUCUGGCGUAGGCCAGUGGCUAAAGCUCAGAUUCGACCCCUAGCCUGGGAACCUCCAUAUGUCAAGGGUGCAGCCUUUAAAAAAAUAAAAAUAAAAACCAAGAACUAAAGUGAACAGCAAAACGUUCAAAUCUGCUUGCUCAUGGUGAUGGCACAAGGCGUUUGCUUAUUAUUUUCUGUGUCUUUUGUUACAAUUUUUCCAUAAAUUAAAUAAGCAUUGUUUAUUUAUUUUGUAAGUGUCUGUGUAAUACUGAGGUCACACAUGCCCCCUGGGGAAGUUGCUUGUGGCCAGUCCCAGAGAUCACCAGUAGAUUUAGUGCCUGGAGAGUCUGUAUCAGUGACAAGUAGAUAGAAAAAGACAGGGUGUCUAGGGAGAAGGGGGCACCCCCACAGCCCCCAUUCCACUACACGCUUUCUGGCGUACUCUGCGGAUUAUCUAGGAAUGUUAAAGAGUCCUCCAAGUUGUCCAUCAACACAAGGAAGAGAUAGCUCAGGGGUUAAGCAUUUCCCUCUGCUCCCUGAGUUGGUCCUAAGGCACCCUCCUCCACACCUGCCCCCAUGCCGGUCAACACCCUGGGGCUUUGAGAUGAAAGCUGAACUCUCAGAACUGCCCUCUCCCCUGGGUCAGGCAAGUUCCAGCACUGCUGCAUUCAUCCAGUUUAUCCACUGGCUGAUGUGCUUGCAUAGCUUACUUAGACAUUCCCUAUGUGUCUGGCUAAUUCCAGAGAGCACUUCUAAGGAUGAUCUGGUAAACUGCAGAGGAGUGCAAUUCUGGAGGAAACGCACAGAAUAUAGUUAAAAUGUUUGGCUUCAAGUGGGAACACCAGGCAUACUUCCUAUUUUGACACACAGAAUUGGAGAUAAACCUUGGGGAAUGUUGGGGGUGGGGGUAAAUUACCUAGAAGGCUGGUGACAAAGUUUAGCUUUGCUAAACUAGUCUGAGUCAAAAUAAGGGAAGAUUCUUCAGGGAACUUGGGAGCGUGGAGCCCUGAGACCACUGAAACUGUGGCCUUGCUCUGAAUCCAAGACCGUUUGGGGGAAAAAAGCCAUCAGAUAUUCCCAUCUCAGCUGGUUUUGUCCCAUCCAUCUCUGGAGAGUCAUAUUGCAGGAAUUUAUUUGGGAAGGAGGGGCAGCAUUAAAGAAGGCAUAUGGCCGAUUACUUUUUAUUAUUUAUCCUUCAAUAGCCAUAUACUAUUGAAAUAAAUACUUUAAAAAAAUGAUGACCAAAAGCCUGAAUUUCUAAAGGGAAGAAAAAGUGGUUUUAGGGUCAGACCAAACACAUUUAUUAAGCAUUCACUCAUUCCUUCAUCUUUUAAAUAUUUUUAAAGCCCCCACUAUGUUUCUGAUAGUGCUACCAGAUUCUAUCCUAAGGUGACCCGCAAGACACAGUGGCCACUUAGAAGGAGAUGCAUUGGGUAAGGAUAUGCUCAGUUUUACCUCCAAUAGAUUAAAUUAAAAAACCCAUUGUUCUUUAAACAUUUGUAUAAUUCCAGACAGUCAUUAUCCAGGUUGUUUUCCAAAGGCCAGGUUUGACUCCGGGUGCCUUUGAUUACUGACACAAGGCGUGGCAGCCACAUGAAACAUCUCUUCGGAACAAAGCACGACCAAGCGACUAUUACACAGGAGGUUUUGCUCAGGAAAAAAGGAACAGAGAAAUAGCUGGGAGUACAAAGCUCUUUAUCUCGGUUUCCAAAGUGCACUGGUUUAACAUUUAAAAAGGCUACUUUGGGGUACAUUUUCCCCUGAAAGUUUCUUUCACACAUUUACAGUCCAGAAGUACAAAAGAGCCACAAACAUCACCCACUCUCUGGAGAGGAUUUUCCUGCUUUUACUUAUAUAUCAGAUUAAAAAAGCUCUUUACUUCUCUUCAAGCCUAAAGACAGGAUCACAUGUGAGUCUGGGUCCUUCCGUUUCAAACGUGAAUUGUUAACCAAGAGAUAAUGAGACCUGACUUUUAACUAGGAAGCCCUGAGGCUGGAGGAUUAGCAUCUUCUGUCCAGAAAGGUCUCUGAGGUAAAUGAGAACCAGGGGGUCUGUGAAUAUCAACAUUGCUACCUCCUUCCUUUUUGCACUAAAAACAUUUGGUUGUUUUCCCUCCUCAGAGACAGCUGCCUUAGGAGAUUUCGAUAUUUAUUUAUUUUUUUACUUCUCUCCAGAGUUUCCUGAAUUUUUUAUUCCCUAAAAGGAGAAAGAGUGUGAAACAGACAAUAUCAGUACCUUUCAGGCAGCUCUCUGGUUGUUGACAAUCUAAAAGAGGAUGGAAGAAAUGUUCCCAGUUACUCUGUAUCUUAUGGACAUGUCCGAAUUAUGUCUUUUUUUUUUUUUUUUUAAAUCUUUUUAGGGCUGCAACCGUGGCACACAGAGGUUCCCAGGCUAGAGGUCUAAUCAGAGCUGCAGCUGCUGGCCUACACCACAGCUCAUGGCAACACCGGUUCCUUAACCCACUGAGCAAGGCAGCCAGGGAUCGAACCUGCAACCUCAUGGUUCCUACUCAGAUUCGUUUCCGCUGUGCCACGACAGGAACUCCUCAAGAAGGCUGAAUUAUGUUCCCUACUUCAUGAAUGCUGGGAUUGCACCUUUUCUUUAAAAAAUUUACUCAAAACACAGUGGAUUCCCAUAGACAAAAUCAUUAAAAGGGUAUUGAUCACUUAGAUAUCUUCUAUUGAAAAAAAAGAUGUUACCUGCUGGAAAAGUCAAAUAGUAGCUAGAGGGGUUUCUCAUUGGUGUCCAGUUGGAACAAAGUGCUAUUAUUUCUGAGCUGCACAGAGCUUCUUGAUGAUCCUGCCUCCCUUGUUGGCUCCCAUGGAAAGUGGGAGCAGAGAAGUAAAGAGACUUUCCCAAACUGCAUCACUAGGCUUCAGCCUUUUGUUCCUUGGUGAAAAAUAUCUCUAAUGGAGACAAAAGAAGGAAACAUCUAAAGAAGCGACUGAGCAUCUACUUAACAAAUUACUACACGGGCAUUUUAAGAAGAGCUAUAUGAAAUAGGUUGAGUUCUGAUGAAAAAUGGUGGCUGCUUGAUGUAUUGCCUGCUUAGCACACUGCCUGCAAGAUGCCAAUAGCAGAUCAUUUUUUAUCUUGCAAUUGCGGAGCUGAAAGGAGAGGGUAGGAGCCCUUUCUGUUGGAUUAAUAUGGAGAUCAUCAAAUCAAAUCUGAGUUAGCCAAGGACAAAGGUGUUGAAUCUGAGAGUUCAACAGGAAUAAAGAGACUUCUGGUGACCUGAGGAUAAGCAUUUUCAAUCAAGAGAAAAAUAUGGAAAACAAAAAUAAAACAAUAGGUGAUAAAAUGGGUUUUUUUGGUUUUUUGUUUUGCUUUGUUUUCUGUUUUUCCUUUUUAGGGCCACACCUGCAGCAUAUGGAAGUUCCCAGGCUAGGGGUUAAAUCAGAGCUAUAGCUGUCAGCCUAUGCCACAGCCACAGCAAUGCCAGAUCUGAGCCACACCUGUGAACCAUACCACAGCUCAUGGCAACACCAGAUCCUUAACCCACUAAGUGAGGCCAGGGAUUGAACCCACAUCCUCAUGGAUACCAGUCGGAUUUGUUUCCUCUGUGCCACAACAGGAACUCCCAAUAAAGUGGUUUUUAAAAAGGUAUAAAGGAUGUAAGAUCGUUUUCUUCACAGGAAUUCUCCCUCUCUCUCUCUUUUUUUUUUUUUUUUUUUGGUCUUUUUGUCUUAUUUUUAUGGCUGCACCUGCAGCAUAUGGACGUUCCCAGGCUAGGGGUAUAAUCAGAGCUGUAGCCGCCGGCCUACACCACAGCCACAGCAACACCAGAUCUGAGCUGCAUCUGCGACCUACACCACAGCUCAUGGCAAUACCAGAUCCUUGACCCACUGAGCAAGGCCAAAGGUCGAACCUGCAACCUCAUGGUUCCUAGUCGGAUUUGUUUCCACUGCACCACGAUGGGAACUUCUUCACAUGAAUUCUUAAAUAUAACUUUCAGUGGACCACUUCAAUUUUAUGUAAAAAUGAGAAAAGAGGGGAAGGAAGAACACAGAGUUUUUAGAUGAAAAUAACUGCUAAUGGGGAGUUCCCGUCGUGGCGCAGUGGUUAACAAUCUGACUAGGAACCAUGAGGUUGCGGGUUUGGUCCCUACCCUUGCUCAGUGGGUUAACGAUCCGGCGUUGCCGUGAGCUGUGGUGUAGGUUGCAGACACGGCUUGGAUCCCGCGUUGCUGUGGCUCUGGUGUAGGGCGGUGGCUACAGCUCCGAUUCAACCCCUAGCCUGGGAACCUCCAUAUGCCGCGGGAGCGGCCCAAGAAAUAGCAACAACAACAACAACAAAAGACAAAAAGACAAAAGACAAAAAAAAAAAAAAAAAAGAAAAUAACUGCUAAUGAAUGAUGAGGCUUUAGACACAUGAAGUCAACAAAAAGUCAUCAGAAAGCCCCACUGAGAGCACAUGAGGUGAGGGGCUGAAAAAGGAAUGUUCAGCAUCCAGCAGGAAAGGACUCAGAAAAAGAGGGGGAAAAAAUGUACCAUCAUGGACACCAAGACAAAUUUUGACAGGACUAAAGGCAUCGUUGGGUUAAGUUUCUAACAUUUGUUAUUGGUUGAAUUAGGUACAAGUGGCUCCAUAGGUAGAGAAAGCCAACUUGCAAUCAAGAGACAAUUCUGCAACAAAAUAAACAAUGUAUCUUGGCGAUGGCAUAGCAGACACCUGCUGUGUGUUUAUUGUUGGCUUAAACCCCACAGGAGGACUCCUGACCCAUUUCUAACAGCAUGGGACCAGUGUACUAAUCAUGACGCUUUUGGCUGUAGGUAGGAGGAAAACCAAAUAAAGCAGCUUUAAUAACAAGAAAAAAAUGUAAUACCUCCCAGAGCAGUAAGUCAGGAGGUGUUAGGGGUGGGCUGGAUGUCCAGGAUCAGUGAACUCAGAUGCCCUGUGCUGUCAGGACCACCUCGAUUCUUUCUGUCUGAUGUACCAUCCUCUGCAUGUGUGCUAGCUCUCCUCAUCUUCACAAGAUCGCAGUAGCAGCUCUGGGCAUCACAUCCUGCUGCAGUGACAACCAACACUGGAUCCUUAACCUGCUGCACCACAAUUGGCAAGAAUUAUGCCAAACACCACAGUAAUUUUCUUCUUCUGUCUGGUUAAUUACACUUAGCGUUUUGACUGCAAGGUCCAUCUAUGUUGUCAUAAACGGCAGGAUUCCCCUCCCCCCUCUUUUUAAGGUCAUGUCAACAGCACGUGGAAGUUCCUGGGCUAGGGGUUGAAUCAGAGCUGCAGCUGCCAACACAUACUACAGCCAUGGCCACAGCCACAUUGGAUCCGAACCACAUCUGCGACUUCCCCCUGAGUUUAUGGCAAUGCCAGAUACUCAACCCAUGGAGCAAGGCCAGGGAUCAAACCUCAAGGACCCUAUGUUGGGUUCUUAACCCAAUGAGCCACAAUGGGAACUCCAGGAUUUUCUUCUUUUUUAUGGCUAAACAUUCUUCUAUUACAUAUUUCCCACAUCUUUAUCCAUGCAUCUGUGGAUGGACACUUAGGUUGUUUCCAUGUCUUGGCCGUCAUAAAUAAUGCUGCAGUGAAUGUGGAGAUGCUGAUCUCUCUGACAUGUUUUCAUUUUCAAAGGCUGUUCUUAAACUAGCCAGUGACAAGAAGAACGGGAUUACCAACUGGUUUAGAUUCAUCAAGAUACAUCUCCAAGAGCGACUGGGAGGGUCCAGCCUCUCCAAAACCCAAUAGAUAUCUGAAUAAAAUCAGGGUUUUAUUGGUAAGGAAGCAGUGUAUGUGGGAGAAAGGCCAUUGGGUAGGCGACCAUGGUAUCAGCCAUAACUUCUGGCUCUUAAUUUGCACAUAAAACCAGUCACUCUUUGUGGCGUAGAGUU
This 6126-nucleotide long non-coding RNA is filed under the name Sus scrofa (pig). Its description in RNAcentral is "lncRNA (ENSSSCG00040049211.1)". Lineage: Eukaryota; Metazoa; Chordata; Mammalia; Artiodactyla; Suidae. The record is from RNAcentral.